Long non-coding RNA from Homo sapiens (human), 337 nucleotides. NCBI's taxonomy places the organism in Eukaryota, Metazoa, Chordata, Mammalia, Primates, Hominidae. The record is from Ensembl.
AGAGGACUUUUUGUGUCCAGACAGAUGGCAAUACUCAUCCGUAUGUUGUCUGCCCCAGGGCAAGUGUCACAGUGAGUACGAAUAAAGCGAUCAAUAAUUUGUCUAUCUGAAAAGUAUGAAGAAAAACAGGAUGAAAAUUUUCACUUUGAUGAAGUGACACAUGCAUUACUGUAACCCACGACCACAGGAUGAUAUAGAUCAUUCCUUCCAUCCCAGAAGACCCUUCAUGCACCUUCCCAGUCAACACUCCCUACUUCAAGACAGCCACUGUUCUGGUUUCUUUCAUCAAAGAUAAGUUUUCCCAGUUGUAGACCUUCAAAUAAAUGAAAUCAUACAG